This 120-nucleotide ribosomal RNA is filed under the name Neogale vison (American mink). The record is from RNAcentral. Lineage: Eukaryota; Metazoa; Chordata; Mammalia; Carnivora; Mustelidae.
GUCUACGGCCGUACCACCCUGAACGCGCCCGAUCUCAUCUGAUCUCGGAAGCUAAGCAGGGUCGGGCCUGGUUAGUACUUGGAUGGAAGAACCCUUCUGGAGGAAAAGAGAUCACAGAUU